Molecule: ribosomal RNA, 600 nt
Filed under: uncultured archaeon
Lineage: Archaea
Description: bacterial SSU rRNA
Rfam family: Archaeal small subunit ribosomal RNA
Source: RNAcentral
CCACCGGCGGACGGCUCAGUAACACGUCGGUAACCUACCCUCGGGAGGGGGAUAACCCCGGGAAACUGGGGCUAAUUCCCCAUAGGCCUGAGGUACUGGAAGGUCCUCAGGCCGAAAGGGACUUAUGUCCGCCCGAGGAUGGGCCGGCGGCCGAUUAGGUAGUUGGUGGGGUAAUGGCCCACCAAGCCGAAGAUCGGUACGGGCUGUGAGAGCAGGAGCCCGGAGAUGGACACUGAGACACGGGUCCAGGCCCUACGGGGCGCAGCAGGCGCGAAACCUCCGCAAUGCGGGAAACCGCGACGGGGGGACCCCGAGUGCCGUGGCAACGCCACGGCUUUUCCGGAGUGUAAAAAGCUCCGGGAAUAAGGGCUGGGCAAGGCCGGUGGCAGCCGCCGCGGUAAUACCGGCGGCCCGAGUGGUGGCCGCUAUUAUUGGGCCUAAAGCGUCCGUAGCCGGGCCCGUAAGUCCCUGGCGAAAUCCCACGGCUCAACCGUGGGGCUUGCUGGGGAUACUGCGGGUCUUGGGACCGGGAGAGGCGGGGGGUACCCCUGGUGUAGGGGUGAAAUCCUAUAUUCCCAGGGGGGACCGCCAGUGGCGACA